This is a long non-coding RNA of Alligator sinensis (Chinese alligator), 191 nucleotides long. RefSeq lists it as uncharacterized. The transcript has 3 exons. NCBI's taxonomy places the organism in Eukaryota, Metazoa, Chordata, Crocodylia, Alligatoridae. The record is from RefSeq and is a predicted model, not a curated record.
CUGGGGCUUGGUGGAGGAUCUGCUGGUGAGAAGAGGAAAGAGCUCUGGGAUGCAUAGGAAGCAGGCCUGAAGGACUAAAGGAAAAUAUAUUUCUUCAAGAAACUAAAGAAUAGCCCUGGGAUGCCAGUGAUUCCUCAUGAAUGAAGAGCCUUCAUAUUCUGGCAUGGAAUCCCCAUAGAGAAAGCUUAAAC